Molecule: long non-coding RNA, 320 nt
Organism: Xenia sp. Carnegie-2017
Lineage: Eukaryota; Metazoa; Cnidaria; Anthozoa; Malacalcyonacea; Xeniidae
Exons: 2
Source: RefSeq, a predicted model, not a curated record
AACCAUUUGAUGGAUUUAAAUGCUGAAAAGAUUUCUACAUCUGGGUUAUUAAUUGAAGAAUCAAGAACAGACUUUCAAAAUACUACGAUUUACGCUUUCAAUAAUGGAAAUGCUAUGAAUAAUGGCUGCAACGACUGUACCAUUCAAGUUUGUAUAUGUAUAAAAGUGAUUCCUCGCUAAAACAACUGAGUAACAUGAAUCCAGGUGAAAACAUAUGAUAUACUAACAAAGAAGCACAGGGAGACUUAAGAGAUACAUAUAUGACACCAUAUAACGAUUUGUAUUGAUGGAUGUGUUGAUCUUGUGCUGUUGGCAACCAA